GAUGAACGCUGGCGGUGUGCCUAAUACAUGCAAGUCGAGCGAACAGACGAGGAGCUUACUCCUCUGACGUUAGCGGCGGACGGGUGAGUAACACGUGGAUAACCUACCUAUAAGACUGGGAUAACUUCGGGAAACCGGAGCUAAUACCGGAUAACAUGUUGAACCGCAUGGUUCAACAGUGAAAGACGGUCUUUCUGUCACUUAUCGAUGGAUCCGCGUCGCAUUAGCUAGUUGGUAAGGUAACGGCCUACCAAGGCAACGAUGGGUAGCCGACCUGGGAGGGUGAUCGGCCACACGGGAGCUGAGACACGGUCCAGACUCCUGCGGGAGGCAGCAGUAGGGAAUCUUACGCAAUGGGCGAGAGCCUGACGGAGCAACGGCGCGUGAGUGAAGAAGGUCUUCGGAUCGUAAAACUCUGUUAUUAGGGAAGAACAAAUGUGUAAGUAACUAUGCACGUCUUGACGGUACCUGAUCAGAAAGCCACGGCUAACUACGUG
This 497-nucleotide ribosomal RNA is filed under the name uncultured bacterium. Its description in RNAcentral is "partial 16S ribosomal RNA". It matches the Rfam family "Bacterial small subunit ribosomal RNA", at positions 28 to 507 of the family's 1533-position model. The record is from RNAcentral.